GCGCAGCAGGCGCGAAACCUUUACACUGCACGCCAGUGCGAUAGGGGGACACCGAGUGCGUAGGCAUAGAGCCUACGCUUUUGUGUACCGUAAGGUGGUACACGAAUAAGGGCUGGGCAAGACCGGUGCCAGCCGCCGCGGUAACACCGGCAGCCCGAGUGAUGGCCGAUAUUAUUGGGCCUAAAGCGUCCGUAGCUGGCCGCGUAGGUCCGUCGGGAAAUCUACUGGCUUAACCAGUAGGCGUCCGGCGGAAACCUCGUGGCUUGGGACCGGAAGACCUGAGGGGUACGUCUGGGGUAGGAGUGAAAUCCUGUAAUCCUGGACGGACCACCGGUGGCGAAAGCGCCUCAGGAAGACGGAUCCGACAGUGAGGGACGAAAGCUAGGGUCUCGAACCGGAUUAGAUACCCGGGUAGUCCUAGCCGUAAACGAUGCUCGUUAGGUGGUGGCGCAGGCUACGAGCCUGCGCUGUGCCGUAGGGAAGCCGAGAAACGAGCCGCCUGGGAAGUACGUCUGCAAGGAUGAAACUUAAAGGAAUUGGCGGGGGAGCACUACAACCGGAGGAGCCUGCGGUUUAAUUGGAUUCAACGCCGGG
RNAcentral lists this ribosomal RNA (594 nucleotides) under uncultured Halobacteria archaeon. RNAcentral describes it as "bacterial SSU rRNA". It matches the Rfam family "Archaeal small subunit ribosomal RNA", at positions 330 to 922 of the family's 1478-position model. The record is from RNAcentral. Lineage: Archaea; Methanobacteriati; Methanobacteriota; Halobacteria.